RNAcentral lists this ribosomal RNA (221 nucleotides) under uncultured bacterium. Its description in RNAcentral is "partial 16S ribosomal RNA". It matches the Rfam family "Bacterial small subunit ribosomal RNA", at positions 129 to 334 of the family's 1533-position model. The record is from RNAcentral.
CCCUUGAGUCCAGGAUAACCUACCGAAAGGUGGGCUAAUACCGGAUAUGACCACGGGGACUACGGUCCCUGAGGUGAAAGGUGGCCUCUGUUUACAUGCCACCGCUCAUCGAUGGGCCUGCGCGCCAUUAGCUAGUUGGUGGGGUAAUGGCCCACCAAGGCGAUGAUGGCUAGCUGGUCUGAGAGGAUGGCCAGCCACACUGGGACUGAAACACGGCCCAG